Molecule: ribosomal RNA, 119 nt
Filed under: Olea europaea subsp. europaea
Lineage: Eukaryota; Viridiplantae; Streptophyta; Magnoliopsida; Lamiales; Oleaceae
Source: RNAcentral
GGGUGCGACUAUACCUGCACUAACGCACCGGAUCCCAUCAGAACUUCGAAGUUAAGCGUGCUUGGGCGAGAGUAGUACUAGGAUGGGUGACCCCCUGGGAAGUCCUCCUGUUGCACCCU